RNAcentral lists this transfer RNA (72 nucleotides) under Marmota monax (woodchuck). Its description in RNAcentral is "tRNA.Val". Lineage: Eukaryota; Metazoa; Chordata; Mammalia; Rodentia; Sciuridae. The record is from RNAcentral.
GCUGGGGAUAUAGCUCAGUUGAUAAAGUGCUUGCCUCACAUGCACAAGGCCUGUGUUCAAUCCCCAGCAGCA